This 494-nucleotide ribosomal RNA is filed under the name uncultured bacterium. RNAcentral's name for it is "partial 16S ribosomal RNA". It matches the Rfam family "Bacterial small subunit ribosomal RNA", at positions 28 to 507 of the family's 1533-position model. The record is from RNAcentral.
GACGAACGCUGGCGGCGUGCUUAACACAUGCAAGUCGAACGGAAGGGCCUGCUUUCCCUUGUGGAUUGCGGGUACUCGAGUGGCGAACGGGUGAGUACAACGUGAGUGAUCUUCUCCCAACUUGGGUAUAAGCCUGGGAUACUGGGUCUAAUUCCCGAUAGGACUGCAGGGUGGUGGCUGUGGUGGAACACGAUUUUCUAGUGGUUGGGGAUGAGCUCGCGGCCUAUCAGCUUGUUGGUGGGGUAAUGGCCUACCAAGGCGGCGACGGGUAGCCGGCCUGAGAGGGUGGACGGCGACAUUGGGACUGGGAUACGGCCCAGACUCCUACGGGAGGCAGCAGUGGGGAAUAUAGCACAAUGGGCGGAAGCCUGAUGCAGCGACGCCGCGUGGGGGAUGACGGCCUUCGGGUUGUAAACUCCUUUCGACCGAGAGGAAGCCACCUGGUUGGAAGGGUGGUGACGGUAGUGGAAGAAGAAGCACCGGCUAACUACGUG